RNAcentral lists this long non-coding RNA (1894 nucleotides) under Mus musculus (house mouse). RNAcentral describes it as "long non-coding RNA chr5:123962627-123964521". The record is from RNAcentral. Lineage: Eukaryota; Metazoa; Chordata; Mammalia; Rodentia; Muridae.
CUCUCUCUCUCUCUCUCCCUCCCUCCCCCCUCUGUCUCUUCCUUUCUUUUAGAUAUUUGUUUGUUUGUUUGUUUGUUUGUUAGACAUGGUCUCUAUAGCCCUGGCUGGCCUGAAGCUCUCUAUGUAGAUCACACUGGCCUCAAACUCACGGGCCUCUGCUUCCCUCCCAGGUUCUGGAACCAAAGGUCUGUGCUACUCCCAACUCCCGUUUCAUCCUGUAACAUUUUCUGUUGCUUUGAGGGUGGGAUAGAGCUGUCUUCUGGAUAGAAACCUCCUCCCCACUCGCUAUAUUGUACGGCACUUUCCUCUUUUCUCUGUAAGUCCUCUACACUGAUGUGUAGGUGUAAGGAUUUGACUAGAUCCAGCUACUAAGCUGUCUCCCUAGGCUGAAAGCUGUCAUUCUUUCAGAAUUUUACACAUUCUAUUUCUUCUGACCGCAGUAAGACUCCGACAGUCAUCGUAUAAGCUGCCAUGUAGAUUUUACUGCCUAUUAUCUAAACAAUGUACAUUGUGGGACAGGGUGGAACUUGACAUAUAGUCCCACACUGUGAAGUAAGUGCUCAUGGCUUACACUUCCCAUUUCAGACUUAAGGAGCAGUCUUUGGACAUGCUGUCUGUGUAAUUAAAGAUAUUUGAAAGUCAUUUAAGGGCUGGUGAGAUGGCUCAGUGGGUUAGAGCACCCGACUGCUCUUCCGAAGGUCCAGAGUUCAAAUCCCAGCAACCACAUGGUGGCUCACAACCAUCCGUAACAAGAUCUGACCCCCUCUUCUGGAGUGUCUGAAGACAGCUACAAUGUACUUACAUAUAAUAAAUAAAUAAAUAAAUAAAUCUUUAAAAAAAAAAAGAAAGUCAUUUAAGUUAGACUGAUUUCAUAUCUCUGAUCAAAACUCCAAAUAACAACAAUAAUGAAAAGCCUACAAGAAUACUGUCCAAUAACAGUUGUACUGGUUGUGUGUAUGUGGAGGACAGAGGACAAUUGUAAGAGGUAGGUCUCCCUUCUCCCCUGCGGGCUCUGGGGGUUGAGCUCAGGCCAUCAGUUGUCAGCAAGUUUCUUCACCUACUGAGCCUCCUCACCAGCCCCUUUAUUUCUCUCCUAACGUGGCUGGGGUUCCUGAUAGCUUUGCGUUUUGAUGCAAGGCCCUGGAUUCCAUCUCUGUAAGAAAUCACCCACCUCCAAACUCCAAAAUAAAAAUACCAAAUAUUAAUGAAAUAUAAUUUACAUACGAUAAAGUGAAAAAUAUCACUAAGAGUUAUUUUAAUGUGGGCCUGGGGAGAUGGCCCAGUACAAAGGAUGCUUGUUGUCUAAGCAUGAGGACCUAAGCUCAGAUCCCUAGCACUCACAUAAAGAAAGAGCCAAGUGUGGAAGUAUGCUCUCAACUCUAGUGCUGUGGGAGUCAGUGGCAGGAGGUUCCUGAGGCUCGUCGGCUGCCAGCCUCGCUCUAGAAUCAGCGAGGGACUCAGUCUCAAAGGAUGUAUGGCAGGGUGAGAGCUGACACCAUGACCUUCUCUGGCCUUCACUCACAUGUACAGGCAUUCAUACCUGCACACAUGAGUACACAACACAUGCACGCACACACGCAUGCAUGCACACACACACGCACACAGUCACGCACACAAAAUGCCUUCAGUGUCUUCCCUGCUGUUUUGAUGAAAAAGUAGGAAACCUUAUGCUGCUUCAGUAAGUGUUGUCCUGUACAUGAACCUGUGAGUAGAGUGUGGCUGAGAAGAGAGUCUCCAUCGGAGGGCGUUCCCUGAGUGCCCUUGGCAGUGAGUGCCUCUGUACUGUUCCACAUGCUGUGAUUCUUAUCACUGCAGACUAGUUAUGCCUGUUGCAGAGCAUUGUGGAAAUGCAGUCACAUAGUAUAUAUCCUUUCUUGUUCCCAUGUUGGGCCUC